This 460-nucleotide ribosomal RNA is filed under the name uncultured bacterium. RNAcentral's name for it is "partial 16S ribosomal RNA". It matches the Rfam family "Bacterial small subunit ribosomal RNA", at positions 338 to 795 of the family's 1533-position model. The record is from RNAcentral.
CCUACGGGUGGCUGCAGUGAGGAAUAUUGGUCAAUGGACGAGAGUCUGAACCAGCCAAGUAGCGUGAAGGAUGACUGCCCUAUGGGUUGUAAACUUCUUUUAUAAAGGAAUAAAGUUAGGCACGUGUGCCUUUUUGUAUGUACUUUAUGAAUAAGGAUCGGCUAACUCCGUGCCAGCAGCCGCGGUAAUACGGAGGAUCCGAGCGUUAUCCGGAUUUAUUGGGUUUAAAGGGAGCGUAGAUGGGUUGUUAAGUCAGUUGUGAAAGUUUGCGGCUCAACCGUAAAAGUGCAAUUGAUACUGGCAGUCUUGAGUACAGUUGAGGUAGGCGGAAUUCGUGGUGUAGCGGUGAAAUGCUUAGAUAUCACGAAGAACUCCGAUUGCGAAGGCAGCCUACUAAACUGUGACUGACAUUGAUGCUCGAAAGUGUGGGUAUCAAACAGGAUUAGAUACCCCAGUAGUC